This 83-nucleotide transfer RNA is filed under the name Pseudooceanicola antarcticus. Its description in RNAcentral is "tRNA_Leu_CAA". It matches the Rfam family "tRNA". Rfam says of the family: Transfer RNA (tRNA) molecules are approximately 80 nucleotides in length. Their secondary structure includes four short double-helical elements and three loops (D, anti-codon, and T loops). Lineage: Bacteria; Pseudomonadati; Pseudomonadota; Alphaproteobacteria; Rhodobacterales; Paracoccaceae. The record is from RNAcentral.
GCCCCGCUGGCGGAAUGGUAGACGCAUCGGAUUCAAAAUCCGACGGCUUAACGGUCGUCCCGGUUCGAGUCCGGGGCGGGGCA